RNAcentral lists this ribosomal RNA (253 nucleotides) under uncultured bacterium. RNAcentral's name for it is "partial 16S ribosomal RNA". It matches the Rfam family "Bacterial small subunit ribosomal RNA", at positions 524 to 776 of the family's 1533-position model. The record is from RNAcentral.
UACAGAGGUCUCAAGCGUUGUUCGGAUUCAUUGGGCGUAAAGGGUGCGUAGGCGGACAGGUAAGUCAGUGGUGAAAUCUCCGAGCUUAACUCGGAAACUGCCUUUGAUACUCUCUGUCUUGAAUAUGGUGGAGGUAAGCGGAAUAUGUCAUGUAGCGGUGAAAUGCUUAGAGAUGACAUAGAACACCUAUUGCGAAGGCAGCUUACUACGCCUAUAUUGACGCUGAGGCACGAAAGCGUGGGGAUCAAACAGG